AGUGAACGCUGGCGGCAGGCCUAACACAUGCAAGUCGAGCGGCUGCGGGUCCUUCGGGAUGCCGGCGAGCGGCGGACGGGUGAGGAAUACAUCGGAAUCUGCCCUGUCGUGGGGGAUAACCUAGGGAAACUUAGGCUAAUACCGCAUACGACCUACGGGUGAAAGCGGGGGAUCGCAAGACCUCGCGCGACAGGAUGAGCCGAUGUCCGAUUAGCUAGUUGGCGGGGUAAAGGCCCACCAAGGCGACGAUCGGUAGCUGGUCUGAGAGGAUGAUCAGCCACACUGGGACUGAGACACGGCCCAGACUCCUACGGGAGGCAGCAGUGGGGAAUAUUGGACAAUGGGCGCAAGCCUGAUCCAGCCAUGCCGCGUGGGUGAAGAAGGCCUUCGGGUUGUAAAGCCCUUUUGUCCGGGAAGAAAUCGUCUGGGCUAAUACCCCGGGCGGAUGACGGCACCGGAAGAAUAAGCACCGGCUAACUUCGU
RNAcentral lists this ribosomal RNA (483 nucleotides) under uncultured bacterium. RNAcentral describes it as "partial 16S ribosomal RNA". It matches the Rfam family "Bacterial small subunit ribosomal RNA", at positions 30 to 506 of the family's 1533-position model. The record is from RNAcentral.